CCUGGCGGCCGUAGCGCGGUGGUCCCACCUGACCCCAUGCCGAACUCAGAAGUGAAACGCCGUAGCGCCGAUGGUAGUGUGGGGUAUCCUCAUGCGAGAGUAGGGAACUGCCAGGC
Molecule: ribosomal RNA, 116 nt
Filed under: Escherichia coli
Lineage: Bacteria; Pseudomonadati; Pseudomonadota; Gammaproteobacteria; Enterobacterales; Enterobacteriaceae
Source: RNAcentral